UGUGACUAUAUGUUUAACGGCCGCGGUAUUCUAACCGUGCAAAGGUAGCGCAAUCACUUGUCUCUUAAAUAGAGACCUGUAUGAAUGGCAUCACGAGGGCUUAGCUGUCUCCUUUUUCAAGUCAAUGAAAUUGAUCUCCCCGUGCAGAAGCGGGGAUAGACCCAUAAGACGAGAAGACCCUAUGGAGCUUAAGACACCAAGGCAUCUCCCGUAAAACAACCUGAACAAAGAAUCAAACCUAAAAGAACCUAUGCC
This 255-nucleotide ribosomal RNA is filed under the name Diplospinus multistriatus (striped escolar). RNAcentral's name for it is "partial 16S ribosomal RNA". It matches the Rfam family "Bacterial large subunit ribosomal RNA", at positions 1911 to 2258 of the family's 2925-position model. The record is from RNAcentral. Lineage: Eukaryota; Metazoa; Chordata; Actinopteri; Scombriformes; Gempylidae.